This 232-nucleotide ribosomal RNA is filed under the name uncultured bacterium. RNAcentral describes it as "partial 16S ribosomal RNA". It matches the Rfam family "Bacterial small subunit ribosomal RNA", at positions 99 to 334 of the family's 1533-position model. The record is from RNAcentral.
CGGACGGGUGAGUAAUGUCUGGGAAACUGCCCGAUGGAGGGGGAUAACUACUGGAAACGAUAGCUAAUACCGCAUAACGUCGCAAGACCAAAGAGGGGGACCUUAGGGCCUCUUGCCAUCGGAUGUGCCCAGAUGGGAUUAGCUAGUAGGUGGGGUAAUGGCUCACCUAGGCGACGAUCCCUAGCUGGUCUGAGAGGAUGACCAGCCACACUGGAACUGAGACACGGUCCAG